UACGAACUGUGCAAACGUUAUUCGGAAUCACUGGGCUUAAAGGGUGCGUAGGCGGCCAUUUAAGUAGGGUGUGAAAGCUCCCGGCUCAACCGGGGAAUUGCGUCCUAAACUGGAUGGCUGGAGUGAGAUAGAGGUGUGUGGAACUUCUGGUGGAGCGGUGAAAUGUGUUGAUAUCGGAAGGAACACCGGUGGCGAAAGCGACACACUGGAUCUUAACUGACGCUGAGGCACGAAAGCCAGGGGAGCGAACGGG
This 253-nucleotide ribosomal RNA is filed under the name uncultured bacterium. RNAcentral describes it as "partial 16S ribosomal RNA". It matches the Rfam family "Bacterial small subunit ribosomal RNA", at positions 524 to 776 of the family's 1533-position model. The record is from RNAcentral.